CGCUGUGUCCCCACGGCUCGGGAGCCACCGGAGCGAGCCCUCGGCGCUGGCAUCACGCAGUGCAGCGCCCUGGCAGGGGGAAUGUCACCGGGGCAGGUGGCACAGGGGAGUGGCCGGGGGGUUCGGGUGUCUCCAGCCCCUGGGCAGUGCUCACCCUCCAUGGGAAGUUCUGACAAGUUUAAAAAACUUGGUUUUUUUUCUUAAUUCCUGGCCGUUGCUGCUCAUCCUGUCACACUGAGCAGAGCCCGGCCCCGUCCUCUGACCCCUCGGGAGAGGUUUGUGCACCUUGGUGACAUUGGUGACAUCCUGUCAGCCUCUGUGAGCUGAACACGCCCAGCUCGUUUUUGGCUGAAGAGGAAUGAGGCAGCCCCAGACAGGUUUUACACGUAAAGCUGCCUCAUCCUUGUGAAAAGUUGCUUUUGUUCCGAUGAGUGUUCAAGAUCCCUGUGCAGAAAUGAAAGCUUGUCCUUCACUGCUGAUGAGAUUCCUGCAAGGAGUGACAUUUGGGGAUGACGCUGCUGGCUCGGGCUGCCAUGGAGAAGCAGGGAGCUGUUGCUGCUCUAUUUAUCCCCUGCAGAAGUUCUGGCAGUGAGUAACUGAUGGCUCGGGUUAGUCAGCCAUCCACCCUUUCAGUGAUUGAUGGCGACGUGAGCGAGCCUUCCAGAAUCCUCUUUGAAUAGCAAGUGGUGUCAUCCCGAGCUGCCACUUGCCAAAUUUCACUCCUCUUUCACCUUUUCUUCCCAUCCAAACUCGGCGUGUCAAAAGUUACUUUUUUCCCCCCUACAGAAUGUUGCCUAAUACUCCUUCUCAGUCACGUCAUCCUAAAUGAAGUUUUUAGCCUGCGAACAUUUAUUUGCUUCCUGCUCACUUUUGAGCCUCAUCCUGAAUAGAUGAUUGAGCCAGAUUUUGGUGCUUGGAAGAGAAAACUUCUGCAGAAGUCACAGAGCUGGAAAGUUCGGGUCACAAGAACAGGGCUUAAAAACGCAGCGAGAGGAACUGCACCCACAGGAAGGAAGGAAGGAAGGAAGGAAGGAAGGAAGGAAGGAAGGAAGGAAGGAAGGAAGGAAGGAAGGAAGGAAGGAAGGAAGGAAGGAAGGAAGGAAGGAAGGAAGGAAGGAAGGAAGGAAGGAAGGAAGGAAGGAAGGAAAGAAAGAAAGAAAGAAAGAAAGAAAGAAAGAAAGAAAGAAAGAAAGAAAGAAAGAAAGAAAGAAAGAAAGAAAGAAAGAAAGAAAGAAAGAAAGAAAGAAAGAAGGAAAUAAAGGAAGGAAUGGAAAGAAGGAAGGAAGGAAAAGAAAGAAAGAAGGAAGGAAAUAAAGGAAGGAAGGAAAUAAAGGAAGGAAGGAAGGAAGGAAGGAAGGAAGGAAGGAAGGAAGGAAGGAAGGAAGGAAGGAAGGAAGGAAGGAAGGAAGGAAGGAAGGAAGGAAGGAAGGAAGAAAGAAAGAAAGAAAGAAAGAAAGAAAGAAAGAAAGAAAGAAAGAAAGAAAGAAAGAAAGAAAGAAAGAAAGAAGGAAAAGAAAGAAAGAAGGAAGGAAAUAAAGGAAGGAAUGGAAAGAAGGAAGGAAGGACAAGAAAGAAAGAAGGAAGGAAAUAAAGGAAGGAAAGAAAGAAGGAAAGAAGGAAAGAAGGAAAGAAAGAAGGAAAGAAAGAAGGAAAGAAGGAAGGAAAGAAGGAAAGAAGGAAAGAAGGAAAGAAGGAAAGAAAGAAGGAAAGAAAGAAGGAAAGAAAGAAGGAAAGAAAGAAAGAAAGAAAGAAAGAAAGAAAGAAAGAAAGAAAGAAAGAAAGAAAGAAAGAAAGAAAGAAAGAAAGAAAGAAAGAAAGAAAGAAAGAAAGAAAGAAAAGAAAAUAAAGAAAAUCCUCUGCAGGGCAGCUUUCACGGCCGCUGAUGGUUUCUGCUCUGCUCCAAGGAAAGGGAUUCAAAGCCCUCCCAAAGCUGAGCAGAUUUUCCAGGACACGAACGUGGAGCGCACAUGCCCUCGUGUGGUGGCCGCUCCCGCACAUCCUCCCGCAGCUGGGAUGCCCCAAAGGAGCAGUGAAAACUGCGGGAUUUAUAAAAUUUCCUCGCUUUAAUAACUCCCAGCACGCUCAGAUCACUGCCAGACCUCAAUGGGUGGCUCAAGAGGUCGGAUCACACCUUUGGCUGCCAAAAUCUGGCUUUACACAGCUGAACUCCAGCAUCUGACAAGUUCUCCCUAUAAUUUUCCUCUUUUUUCAGUGCCUAAAAGAUGCUUAAUAGCUGCCAAAAAGAAAAAAUAAGGAGGCCUGGAAUACAGCAUCAAAAAUGGACAGAUUUUUGCAUGAUUUUCUGUAAUUACUGCACUAGAAACUCCAGAUAUUGUGGGUGCCCAGCCCUGACCACUCUACUGUACCAGGAUUUUGUUUUUCAGGAAAAAUUGUUGCCCACUCGAUGCAUUUUCCAAAACAAUUAGAAUAUUAUUUAUUUUUUAAAGGGAUUUCUCCUUUCAGGGCUUUAUUUGCUCCAUGUCCUGGUGGGGGAACAGCCGCCGUGACACUGCAGCCACAGCACCUGGGGCCUCUAGGAAGUGAGAAGCAGCUGUGACAACUGAAAUAUUUCAGUGUUUGCAGCAGUCAGCAACAGCUCAGGGAGAUCUAAAAACUUUUCCCUGCCUAUUUUGGCAGAAGAGAUUCAUGGCUGUGCCUGCACUCAGUUCUGUUGUUGUUUCAGCCACAUUUAAAACACCCUUUUGCCAAACCUUUGUUUCCUCCCAGCUUAUGAUUUUUUUUUAUAUUUUUCAUUUUCCUAUUUAUUUAUUGACGUGCAAUGGAGAACAGCAGACUUUUAGGCAACCAAAACACAUUUUAGGUGCUUUAUAGUUUUGUUCUACAGCAGUGCUGCUCUCCUGGAGCCAGAAAAUCACCCGCAGAACAAAAGGUGUGCAAUAUUUGUGUCAUUCCCCCUCCACUUCUGGGUCUCUGUCCCUUCCAGCAGAGUGAGGGAGAGAACUGGAGGAGUAAAAAUGGCCAAACUCAUGGGUUGAGAUAAAGAAAUUUAAUAGGCACGGUGGAAGUCUCACACACAAGCAAAGCAAACCAAGGGAUUCCUUCCCCACCUGCCAGGUUCAGCAUCUCCAUCACACACCACAGGAACUUUCAGCACCUUUGAGGAGCAGCAGGUCUAUAAAUAAAUAAGGAUUUUGGAUUGUC
Molecule: long non-coding RNA, 3162 nt
Organism: Passer domesticus (house sparrow)
Lineage: Eukaryota; Metazoa; Chordata; Aves; Passeriformes; Passeridae
Exons: 2
Source: RefSeq, a predicted model, not a curated record